GCUCUAUUUUUCUCAACCAUUGCAUCCUAUAUUCGGGGUGCCGGUUCGCCGGCUAUGGAAAUAAAUUGCCGUCGCAAUAAACCAUUCGGACCCGGGGGCAGUACCCGGCGCCUCCACCCAAGCCCGCCGAGACGGGCUUCGGCGGGGGCGAAACAGGAUCGACGAGGGCGUAAAGGGCGUGUUUUUUCCCGGUAUUGUUCCGCCGUUAUCGGGCUAUGCAAUAGUUGCAAACGACAACUAUGCUCCGGUUGCUCAGGCCGCGUAAGCGGUUUGAAAGACCGAAUUAAAGCCCUGGCGUCUUAGCAGCGUCAGGCGGGGUUCGGAGGCACCUGGCAACA
This 338-nucleotide transfer-messenger RNA is filed under the name Bradyrhizobium sp. Its description in RNAcentral is "partial transfer-messenger RNA". It matches the Rfam family "Alphaproteobacteria transfer-messenger RNA". Rfam says of the family: Bacterial tmRNA, also known as 10Sa RNA or SsrA, is named for its dual tRNA and mRNA-like properties. Its role is to liberate the mRNA from a stalled ribosome. Lineage: Bacteria; Pseudomonadati; Pseudomonadota; Alphaproteobacteria; Hyphomicrobiales; Nitrobacteraceae. The record is from RNAcentral.